AGCCCUGUAGAGGUAGAGGGAGACAGUGUAGUGUAGUGUGGGGACCUAUCUCCACCAGCCCUGUAGAGGUAGAGGGAGACAGUGUAGUGUAGUGGGGGACCUAUCUCCUCCAGCCCUGUAGAGGUAGAGGGAGACAGUGUAGUGUAGUGUGGGGACCUAUCUCCUCCAGCCCUGUAGAGAUAGAGGGAGACAGUGUAGUGUAGUGUGGGGACCUAUCUCCUCCAGCCCUGUAGAGGUAGAGGGAGACAGUGUAGUGUAGCGUGGGGACCUAUCUCCUCCAGCCCUGUAGAGGUAGAGGGAGACAGUGUAGUGUAGUGUGGGGACCUAUCUCCACCAGCCCUGUAGAGGUAGAGGGAGACAGUGUAGUGUAGUGGGGGACCUAUCUCCUCCAGCCCUGUGAGAGGUAGAGGGAGACAGUGUAGUGUAGUGGGGGGACCUAUCUCCUCCAGCCCUGUAGAGAGGUAGAGGUAGACAGUGUAGUGUGGGGACCUAUCUCCUCCAGCCCUGUAGAGGUAGAGGGAGACAGUGUGGUGUAGCGUGGGCCCUGUGGGGCCUUGCAGGAGAUCUCAGACAUGUGGUUUCCUGUCUGUGCUUUACUCAAAGCAGAAACAUCUCAGCCACGUGCUACUGCACAGACUGUAUAGAAAGAUAGAGA
RNAcentral lists this long non-coding RNA (655 nucleotides) under Salmo trutta (river trout). RNAcentral describes it as "lncRNA (ENSSTUG00000020920.1)". Lineage: Eukaryota; Metazoa; Chordata; Actinopteri; Salmoniformes; Salmonidae. The record is from RNAcentral.